GAUGAACGCUAGCUACAGGCUUAACACAUGCAAGUCGAGGGGAAACGGCAUUACGUGCUUGCACUUUUUGGACGUCGACCGGCGCACGGGUGAGUAACGCGUAUCCAACCUUCCCAUGACUAAGGGAUAACCUGCCGAAAGGCAGACUAAUACCUUAUGGUCUUCACUGACGGCAUCAGAUGUGAAGUAAAGAUUUAUCGGUUAUGGAUGGGGAUGCGUCUGAUUAGCUUGUUGGCGGGGUAACGGCCCACCAAGGCAACGAUCAGUAGGGGUUCUGAGAGGAAGGUCCCCCACAUUGGAACUGAGACACGGUCCAAACUCCUACGGGAGGCAGCAGUGAGGAAUAUUGGUCAAUGGGCGAGAGCCUGAACCAGCCAAGUAGCGUGCAGGAUGACGGCCCUAUGGGUUGUAAACUGCUUUUGUAUGGGGAUAAAGUCAAUCACGUGUGAUUGUUUGCAGGUACCAUACGAAUAAGGACCGGCUAAUUCCGUG
This 492-nucleotide ribosomal RNA is filed under the name uncultured bacterium. Its description in RNAcentral is "partial 16S ribosomal RNA". It matches the Rfam family "Bacterial small subunit ribosomal RNA", at positions 28 to 507 of the family's 1533-position model. The record is from RNAcentral.